This 88-nucleotide transfer RNA is filed under the name Holosporaceae bacterium. RNAcentral describes it as "tRNA-Leu". It matches the Rfam family "tRNA". From Rfam's summary of the family: Transfer RNA (tRNA) molecules are approximately 80 nucleotides in length. Their secondary structure includes four short double-helical elements and three loops (D, anti-codon, and T loops). Lineage: Bacteria; Pseudomonadati; Pseudomonadota; Alphaproteobacteria; Holosporales; Holosporaceae. The record is from RNAcentral.
GCGGCCGUGGCGGAAUUUGGUAGACGCUCAGCGUUGAGGUCGCUGUGGAGUAAAAUCCGUGGAAGUUCGAGUCUUCUCGGCCGCACCA